This 497-nucleotide ribosomal RNA is filed under the name uncultured bacterium. RNAcentral's name for it is "partial 16S ribosomal RNA". It matches the Rfam family "Bacterial small subunit ribosomal RNA", at positions 28 to 507 of the family's 1533-position model. The record is from RNAcentral.
GAUGAACGCUGGCGGCGUGCCUAAUACAUGCAAGUCGAGCGAACAGAUGAGGAGCUUGCUCCUCUGACGUUAGCGGCGGACGGGUGAGUAACACGUGGAUAACCUACCUAUAAGACUGGGAUAACUUCGGGAAACCGGAGCUAAUACCGGAUAGUAUAUUGAACCGCAUGGUUCAAUAGUGAAAGACGGUUUUGCUGUCACUUAUAGAUGGAUCCGCGCCGCAUUAGCUAGUUGGUAAGGUAACGGCUUACCAAGGCAACGAUGCGUAGCCGACCUGAGAGGGUGAUCGGCCACACUGGAACUGAGACCCGGUCCAGACUCCUACGGGAGGCAGCAGUAGGGAAUCUUCCGCAAUGGGCGAAAGCCUGACGGAGCAACGCCGCGUGAGUGAUGAAGGUCUUCGGAUCGUAAAACUCUGUCAUUAGGGAAGAACAAAUGUGUAAGUAACUAUGCACGUCUUGACGGUACCUAAUCAGAAAGCCACGGCUAACUACGUG